This 442-nucleotide ribosomal RNA is filed under the name uncultured bacterium. RNAcentral describes it as "partial 16S ribosomal RNA". It matches the Rfam family "Bacterial small subunit ribosomal RNA", at positions 338 to 795 of the family's 1533-position model. The record is from RNAcentral.
CCUACGGGAGGCAGCAGUGGGGGAUAUUGCACAAUGGGGGAAACCCUGAUGCAGCGACGCCGCGUGGGCGAAGAAGUAUUUCGGUAUGUAAAGCCCUAUCAGCAGGGAAGAAGAAAUGACGGUACCUGAGUAAGAAGCACCGGCUAAAUACGUGCCAGCAGCCGCGGUAAUACGUAUGGUGCAAGCGUUAUCCGGAUUUACUGGGUGUAAAGGGAGCGCAGGCGGCACGGCAAGCCUGAUGUGAAAGCCCGCGGCCCAACCGGGGGACUGCAUUGGGAACUACCGGGCUGGAGUGCCGGAGAGGUAGGCGGAAUUCCUAGUGUAGCGGUGAAAUGCGUAGAUAUUAGGAGGAACACCAGUGGCGAAGGCGGCUUACUGGACGGUGACUGACGCUGAGGCUCGAAAGCGUGGGGAGCAAACAGGAUUAGAUACCCCAGUAGUC